AUUGACUGUCGUCGUCAACUGAUCGGUUCGAGAGAGUGAUUUGACGACUCAACCCGCACGUCUAUGUAUAAUAUACGAGAUUACAAUAGCUGAAGCAGAAAUAAACAAUAUUCAAGUAUCAAAACAUUGCGA
Long non-coding RNA from Diuraphis noxia (Russian wheat aphid), 132 nucleotides. The record is from RefSeq and is a predicted model, not a curated record. Lineage: Eukaryota; Metazoa; Arthropoda; Insecta; Hemiptera; Aphididae.